UGGGGAAUCUUAGACAAUGGGCGCAAGCCUGAUCUAGCCAUGCCGCGUGAGUGAUGAAGGCCCUAGGGUCGUAAAGCUCUUUCGCCUGUGAAGAUAAUGACUGUAGCAGGUAAAGAAACCCCGGCUAACUCCGUGCCAGCAGCCGCGGUAAUACGGAGGGGGUUAGCGUUGUUCGGAAUUACUGGGCGUAAAGCGCGCGUAGGCGGACAUUUAAGUCAGGGGUGAAAUCCCGGGGCUCAACCCCGGAACUGCCCUUGAUACUGGGUGUCUUGAGUUCGAGAGAGGUGAGUGGAAUUCCGAGUGUAGAGGUGAAAUUCGUAGAUAUUCGGAGGAACACCAGUGGCGAAGGCGGCUCACUGGCUCGAUACUGACGCUGAGGUGCGAAAGUGUGGGGAGCAAA
This 400-nucleotide ribosomal RNA is filed under the name uncultured bacterium. Its description in RNAcentral is "bacterial SSU rRNA". It matches the Rfam family "Bacterial small subunit ribosomal RNA", at positions 355 to 772 of the family's 1533-position model. The record is from RNAcentral.